Molecule: ribosomal RNA, 460 nt
Filed under: uncultured bacterium
Lineage: Bacteria
Description: partial 16S ribosomal RNA
Rfam family: Bacterial small subunit ribosomal RNA
Source: RNAcentral
CCUACGGGUGGCAGCAGUGAGGAAUAUUGGUCAAUGGGCGCGAGCCUGAACCAGCCAAGUCGCGUGAGGGAUGACGGUCCUCCGGAUUGUAAACCUCUUCUGCCGGGGAGCAAGCGUGCGUUCGUGAACGCGCGUCGCGAGUACCCGGAGUACAAGCAUCGGCUAACUCCGUGCCAGCAGCCGCGGUAAUACGGAUGAUGCGAGGGUUAUCCUGAUUUAUUGGGUUUAAAGGGUGCGUAGGCGGGAUGCCAAGUCAGCGGGAAAAAGGCGGUGCUCAACGGUGGCGAGCCGUUGAAACUGGCGGUCUUGAGUGGGCGAGAAGAGAGCGGAAUGCGUGGUGUAGCGGUGAAAUGCGUAGAUAUCACGCAGAACUCCGAUUGCGAAGGCAGCAUGCCGGCUCCACACUGACGCUGAGGCACGAAAGCGUGGGUAGCGAACAGGAUUAGAUACCCUGGUAGUC